Molecule: ribosomal RNA, 291 nt
Filed under: Triticum aestivum (bread wheat)
Lineage: Eukaryota; Viridiplantae; Streptophyta; Magnoliopsida; Poales; Poaceae
Description: partial small subunit ribosomal RNA
Source: RNAcentral
AUGCCGACGGUCGUCGAGAGGUUCAUGGACUGGACGGUGUCGUGGUUGCCGUUGUAUGGAGAGGCGAAGCUGCUGCUCGUCAUCUAUCUCUGGCUCCCUAGCACAUGGGGUGCGGGGCACGUGUACGAUGGCUUCCUCCAUCCGCUGGUGGCGUGGCACGAGGCCGACAUCGACCUGAGCCUGCUUGAGCUGAGGGCUAGGGAGAGGGACGUGACGGUGUCACAACUCAAGGCGGCGGCGGUCAUCGGUCAAGUGUGGCUCGUCGAGGCUGCCCGCUGUGUUUCGUCGUAG